CAAAUAAAUCACUAAUGCCAUGAGCACAGAUGCCCAAAAAAUCAAUUGCAGCAUCAUGCUUUCUUUUCAAAACUCCUCUGUCCUAGUCCUUCAAAAUAUGGCUACCCUUGUUUUGGGGUUGCCACUGACAACCCUCCUUUCAAUUGCCUGGGAUGGAUCCUGGGGUGCCAAAUUGUAAUAGAGAGGAGGUCUUUAAAAAGGAAGGGACCAGAGAGCAGCUGUUUGGGGACUGAGUUCUGUGUAGCACUUUCUCUUUCUUCCACUAAGCUGUUAUCAAUGGAGUCAGUCAAUCAGUCAGACCAGAAGGUUCCCAGAAGUCUUCUUAUAAAUUGAUCUUAGAGACUUGAACCAGGCAAGAUGAUGCUACCUCACAGAGUUCUCUUUCAUGUCCACUCCUUCUGCUCUCAGGGAAUAAGGAAGGGAUCUCUUUCUAACAGAUCAUUCUUCUAGGUUCAGAACAGUCCAGUAUGAAUAUUAAUCAGAUUUAAGCCAGUUCUGCCCAGUGAGAUAUAAAUUAUAUUCAAGGAGUAAUUAAUAGUGAAGCUGAUGAUUGGUGAACCUGCUGCUCGAAGUGUGUGAUAAUAUGGAACAGAAGCAUCUUGUCUUCCUCUUCUGAGUACAGUAUGUAUUCUGUGACUAUUUCUUGUCUGCUGAUUGUAUAAUAAAGAGACUUUUUUGUACUUGGUGAUCGAGAACUGAGAAGGCACAUCAAAGACCCCAAAGGGGAAACUCCCUCUUUUUCCUUUUUGGUGACCACAAGAUGGAAAAAAAUGACCCUGUUAAUAGGACUGCAAAGAAGUACCUCAGAUUCAUUCAAAAUAGGAAUUUCCAGCACAGACUCUCAUCAGGCAGCUGCUUAUCUUUCCUGUAUCACAAAUCCCAAAGAGAAGCUUCCUCUGAAACAGUUCUCACACAAUAUCAGAGCUAGAAGGACAAAAAAAGUAAUAAUCCCUCUUUGCUAAGGCACCCUA
RNAcentral lists this long non-coding RNA (971 nucleotides) under Monodelphis domestica (gray short-tailed opossum). Its description in RNAcentral is "lncRNA (ENSMODG00000037613.1)". The record is from RNAcentral. Lineage: Eukaryota; Metazoa; Chordata; Mammalia; Didelphimorphia; Didelphidae.